GACGAACGCUGGCGGCGUGCCUAACACAUUCAAGUCGAACGGAGUUAUUACGAAUGAAGUUUUCGGAUGGAUUUUGUAUUAACUUAGUGGCGGACGGGUGAGUAACGCGUGAGCAACCUGCCUUUGCAUUCGGGAUAACAGCUGGAAACGACUGCUAAUACCGAAUAACGUACAUUGAUUGCAUGAUCUGAAAACCAAAGAUUUAUUGCUGAGAGAUGGCCUCGCGUCUGAUUAGCUAGUUGGUGGGGUAACGGCCCACCAAGGCGACGAUCAGUAGCCGGUCUGAGAGGAUGAACGGCCACAUUGGGACUGAGAUACGGCCCAGACUCCUACGGGAGGCAGCAGUGGGGAAUAUUGGGCAAUGGGGGAAACCCUGACCCAGCAACGCCGCGUGAAGGAAGAAGGCCUUCGGGUU
This 415-nucleotide ribosomal RNA is filed under the name uncultured bacterium. RNAcentral's name for it is "bacterial SSU rRNA". It matches the Rfam family "Bacterial small subunit ribosomal RNA", at positions 28 to 424 of the family's 1533-position model. The record is from RNAcentral.